Molecule: long non-coding RNA, 232 nt
Filed under: Lathyrus oleraceus (garden pea)
Lineage: Eukaryota; Viridiplantae; Streptophyta; Magnoliopsida; Fabales; Fabaceae
Description: Pisum sativum (pea) long non-coding RNA (PSAT_LNC040986)
Source: RNAcentral
ACGUCCGUUGUACUCAACGGGAACCAUUAGGUCAGUUGUGUGCGUUAAUGUUAAUUUGAAAUGUUAGGCUUUUCGAAUUAUUGGGUGGGAAAGAAAGAAAGAAAGUUUUUGGAUUUUUUAACGAAGGACUAAACCUAAGUUUUUUAUUAGUGGGCCUGACAAGAUUUAUAAAUCCUGCUCCUACGUAUCUCAAAAGAGAAAUCAAGGCUUACGUAGUUCUGGGUAGAAAAAU